CCUGGCGGGAGGGGGUCCCUGAGGGUGGGGGCACCCUCAGGGCACUAUAGUGCCAGGAAAACGAGUAUGUUUUCCUGGCACUAUAGUGGUCCUUUAAAUUAUAAAGAUUGGUACACCUGUUACCGGGAAACUGACGGAGGCCAAGCACAGAGAGAUGGACACAGGUUUCUUCAGGAAGGAAGAGAUCUUUAUUUGAUUCACUCAGAGGGACUUAUGUCACCAAAAACAGCAAAGAUCUGAGUACUGAAUACAUAGAGUACAUUUCUUAUAUAGCACUGUAUCUUCUCCCAUAAUUAGCUACGCCCACACAUACCCUUAACCUAAUCAAUGAAUAGAGUCUAAACUCAUCCAUCCGGUCUAACCACGUGGCUCAUCUGAAACAAAGGAGAGGAACGCGUAAUUCCAGUUCCUGCAUUCCUGCACAUGCUCAGUACAGUGAUGACAGUAUCUUAGCUACGUGUAACUAACUGAUACUACAAACACAUGUACCUACAUAUGCCUUGUGGCAAUCUUGGCCUGCUAAACUUGUAUUUUACUGGAAUUCCAUCACAUUCCCCCCUUUGAUGCUUCUGAUUUAAAAUAAUUCCAGAUGCAUCACCAAUCAUAGUUUGUUUACACCUCAAGUUGCC
Non-coding RNA from Pelobates cultripes (western spadefoot toad), 629 nucleotides. NCBI's taxonomy places the organism in Eukaryota, Metazoa, Chordata, Amphibia, Anura, Pelobatidae. The record is from the annotation of a GenBank genome assembly.